RNAcentral lists this transfer RNA (95 nucleotides) under Streptomyces collinus. Its description in RNAcentral is "tRNA-Sec". The record is from RNAcentral. Lineage: Bacteria; Bacillati; Actinomycetota; Actinomycetes; Kitasatosporales; Streptomycetaceae. RNAcentral also lists the same sequence under 1 other name.
GAGGCCCUUGGCGAGCCGGGAACGGGGCCGGAGCUUCUUCAGUGAACUCGCGCGGUGCGCGCCGCGGGCCCGGGAUCGCUGCCCGGGGACCGCGC